Molecule: long non-coding RNA, 209 nt
Organism: Lepus europaeus (European hare)
Lineage: Eukaryota; Metazoa; Chordata; Mammalia; Lagomorpha; Leporidae
Exons: 4
Source: RefSeq, a predicted model, not a curated record
AAAGCCUGAGCAAUCUGAUGAAUCGAAUUUCCAAGAUGAUGAUUGUUACAUUUAUAGUCCGGAUACCACCACCGUUGAUGAUGAUGUUGUUACGGUUCCAACGGAAGCACCAAAGAGAAAGGCCAGCUGCAUGGUGAUUGACUUAGACUCUGAUAUUGAAUACCAGCCUGAGAUAAAGAAGCCAAAGAUCUGUGAAGUCAGUAGUGACG